RNAcentral lists this ribosomal RNA (506 nucleotides) under Mulsantina mexicana. RNAcentral's name for it is "partial large subunit ribosomal RNA". It matches the Rfam family "Bacterial large subunit ribosomal RNA", at positions 1820 to 2600 of the family's 2925-position model. Lineage: Eukaryota; Metazoa; Arthropoda; Insecta; Coleoptera; Coccinellidae. The record is from RNAcentral.
UUUUUGAUAAUAAUAUAAAGUAGGGCCUGCCCACUGAGUAAUUGAAGGGCCGCAGUAUUUUGACUGUGCAAAGGUAGCAUAAUCAUUAGUUUUUUAAUUGAAAGCUUGUAUGAAUGGUUUGAUGAGAAAAUAUCUUUCUAUAUUUAAAUUAUGAAGAAUUUUAUUUUUGAGUUAAAAAGCUCAAAUAAAUUUAAUAGACGAGAAGACCCUAUAGAGUUUUAUUAUUAACUUUUUUUAUAUUUUUGGAAUUUAAUUUUUUAAAAAGCUAAAUAAUUUGAUUGGGGUGAUUAGAAAAUUAGAGAAACUUUUUUUUUAUUAAAAACAUUGAUUUAUGAGUAUUUGAUCCAUGAAACUGAUUAAAAGAAUAAAUUACCUUAGGGAUAACAGCGUUAUUUUUUUUUAGAGUUCUAAUCGAGAAAAGAGAUUGCGACCUCGAUGUUGGAUUAAAGUUAAUUUUUGGUGUAGAAGCUAAAAAAUUUGGUCUGUUCGACCAUUAAAUCUUUACA